This 454-nucleotide ribosomal RNA is filed under the name uncultured bacterium. Its description in RNAcentral is "bacterial SSU rRNA". It matches the Rfam family "Bacterial small subunit ribosomal RNA", at positions 52 to 507 of the family's 1533-position model. The record is from RNAcentral.
CACAUGCAAGCCGAGCGGUAGAGAUUCUUCGGAAUCUUGAGAGCGGCGUACGGGUGCGGAACACGUGUGCAACCUACCUUUAUCCUGGAGAUAGCCUUUCGAAAGGAAGAUUAAUACUCCAUAAUAUAUUGAUUGGCAUCAAUUGAUAUUGAAAGCUCCGGCGGAUAGAGAUGGGCACGCGCAAGAUUAGUUAGUUGGUGAGGUAACGGCUCACCAAGACGAUGAUCUUUAGGGGCCUGAGAGGGUGAUCCCCCACACUGGUACUGAGACACGGACCAGACUCCUACGGGAGGCAGCAGUGAGGAAUAUUGGUCAAUGGGUGCAAGCCUGAACCAGCCAUCCCGCGUGAAGGACGACUGCCCUAUGGGUUGUAAACUUCUUUUGUAUAGGGAUAAACCUACCCUCGUGAGGGUAGCUGAAGGUACUAUACGAAUAAGCACCGGCUAACUCCGUG